Molecule: ribosomal RNA, 494 nt
Filed under: Serica sudhausi
Lineage: Eukaryota; Metazoa; Arthropoda; Insecta; Coleoptera; Scarabaeidae
Description: partial 16S large subunit ribosomal RNA
Rfam family: Bacterial large subunit ribosomal RNA
Source: RNAcentral
UUAAAGUCUAAUCUGCCCUAUGAGGAUUUAAAUGGCCGCGGUAUUUUGACCGUGCAAAGGUAGCAUAAUAAUUAGUUUUUUAAUUGAAAGCUGGAAUGAAUGAUUGAACGAGAAAAUAGCUGUCUCAAUUUGAUUUUAUUAGAAUUUUAUUUUUAAGUAAAAAAGCUUAAAUAUUUUUAAAAGACGAGAAGACCCUAUAGAGUUUGAUAAUUAAUUAGUUAUAAAUUUUUUAGUAUUAUUUGGCUAUUAGUUAAUUAAUUAUUUUAUUGGGGUGAUAGAAAAAUAGAUUUAACUUUUUUUUGAUUAGUACAUUAAUUUAUGUUUUUUUGAUCCAUUAUUUAUGAUUAUAAGAUUAAGUUACCUUAGGGAUAACAGCGUAAUUUUUUUUUAGAGUUCUUAUCGAAAGAAAAGAUUGCGACCUCGAUGUUGGAUUAAAAUUAAUAUAGGGUGUAGAAGCUUUAUUAUUAGGUCUGUUCGACCUUUAAAAUUUUACA